RNAcentral lists this ribosomal RNA (414 nucleotides) under uncultured bacterium. RNAcentral's name for it is "partial 16S ribosomal RNA". It matches the Rfam family "Bacterial small subunit ribosomal RNA", at positions 359 to 774 of the family's 1533-position model. The record is from RNAcentral.
GAAUAUUGCGCAAUGGAGGGAACUCUGACGCAGCGACGCCGCGUGAGCGAUGAAGGUCUUCGGAUCGUAAAGCUCUGUCCUUGGGGAAGAAGGGUGCAUUAUAGCAUCCUGACGGUACCCGAGGAGGAAGCCCAGGCUAACUCCGUGCCAGCAGCCUCGGUAAUACGUAGGGGGCAAGCGUUGUCCGGAAUUAUUGGGCGUAAAGGGUGCGUAGGCGGCCUUUUAAGUCAGAUGUGAAAGCCCACGGCUUAACCGUGGGACUGCAUUUGAAACUGGAGGGCUUGAGUAUCGGAGAGGGUAGUGGAAUUCCCAGUGUAGCGGUGGAAUGCGUAGAUAUUGGGAGGAACACCAGUGGCGAAGGCGACUACCUGGACGAAAACUGACGCUGAGGCACGAAAGCUAGGGGAGCAAACA